GACGAACGCUGGCGGCGUGCUUAACACAUGCAAGUCGAACGGAAAGGCCCUGCUUUUGUGGGGUGCUCGAGUGGCGAACGGGUGAGUAACACGUGAGUAACCUGCCCUUGACUUUGGGAUAACUUCAGGAAACUGGGGCUAUACCGGAUAGGAGCUCCUGCUGCAUGGUGGGGGUUGGAAAGUUUCGGCGGUUGGGGAUGGACUGGCGGCUUAUCAGCUUGUUGGUGGGGUAGUGGCUUACCAAGGCUUUGACGGGUAGCCGGCCUGAGAGGGUGACCGGCCACAUUGGGACUGAGAUACGGCCCAGACUCCUACGGGAGGCAGCAGUGGGGAAUAUUGCACAAUGGGCGGAAGCCUGAUGCAGCAACGCCGCGUGCGGGAUGACGGCCUUCGGGUUGUAAACCGCUUUCGCCUGUGACGAAGCGUGAGUGACGGUAAUGGGUAAAGAAGCACCGGCUAACUACGUG
This 467-nucleotide ribosomal RNA is filed under the name uncultured bacterium. Its description in RNAcentral is "partial 16S ribosomal RNA". It matches the Rfam family "Bacterial small subunit ribosomal RNA", at positions 28 to 507 of the family's 1533-position model. The record is from RNAcentral.